GCCGGGUUAGCUCAGCGGUAGAGCAACCGCCUUGUAAGCGGUAGGUCGUCGGUUCAAUCCCGACACCCGGCA
Molecule: transfer RNA, 72 nt
Filed under: Roseococcus suduntuyensis
Lineage: Bacteria; Pseudomonadati; Pseudomonadota; Alphaproteobacteria; Acetobacterales; Roseomonadaceae
Also listed under: 7 other names
Rfam family: tRNA
About the family: Transfer RNA (tRNA) molecules are approximately 80 nucleotides in length. Their secondary structure includes four short double-helical elements and three loops (D, anti-codon, and T loops). Further hydrogen bonds mediate the characteristic L-shaped molecular structure. tRNAs have two regions of fundamental functional importance: the anti-codon, which is responsible for specific mRNA codon recognition, and the 3' end, to which the tRNAs corresponding amino acid is attached (by aminoacyl-tRNA synthetases). tRNAs cope with the degeneracy of the genetic code in two manners: having more than one tRNA (with a specific anti-codon) for a particular amino acid; and 'wobble' base-pairing, i.e. permitting non-standard base-pairing at the 3rd anti-codon position.
Source: Rfam by way of RNAcentral